GCAGAGCGUCCCGCCCUCGCUGUUCCCGCGCCCGGGGCAGGAAGGCGCGCUGGGCAGUUAGGUGCCCUCAGGGUGCCAGGCUCGUCAGACUGCUGGCCUUUCAGUCAUGUAUUCCAAUAUUUUGAGAAGGCCUACUGUGUGCCAGGCGCUGGGCCCCAGGGAGCGAAGCCGUCGUGCCGCCGCCGUAAUUGUACGCGGGUGCAGGGGUGCAGGGCUGGAAGCAGAUGCCUACUUGGUGCUGGUGUCAUUCCCAAAGGGGAGGCCAUCGCUGGUGCACAGGGAGGCUGGGUGGACAGAAUCUUCCUUUUUCUGCCACCCCCCAAAGCCAUCUAGUGAGAGGUGCUGCCAGCUUUGAAGGUUCCCUGCUCUCCCUGGUCCUCUGGUUCUCUUCAGACUCAUCUCGAGAGGAUGGACUGUCCCAGUGGGUCUCCGACUGUGGCUGUAACGACCUGCUGCUCCACCAAAGCUUCUGACCUUGAAAAGACCCUGAGGCAACAUGGAGGAGGAAAAGCUCAGAGAGGCAAAUGACUUACUCAACAUCACACGGCUAGGAGAUAGCUGAGCUGGGAAUAAAUGUGAGCUCACUUUGACUCCAGAGCCCCUUCUUAGGCUAUAAAAUAAUGCUUAUAUCAAAGGGUAGGAAGUUGACCUGAAAUUCUGAGAUUCUGCCUUCAGUCUACGUUUCCUAGCCCCAUCUUAGUUGUUGAGAAUAAUACUGCAAUGAGCAUGAGUGCAGGGAUCUCUUAGAGGCAGCCGCACAAAGAAUGCUGUGUGGCCUUUAAAAGAGAUGGUGUAAAAGUUCCCGUUGUGGCUCAGUGGGUUAAGAACACGACAUAGUGCCCACAAGGAUGAGGGUUCAAUCCCUGGCCUCGCUCAGUGAAUUAAG
Molecule: non-coding RNA, 886 nt
Organism: Sus scrofa (pig)
Lineage: Eukaryota; Metazoa; Chordata; Mammalia; Artiodactyla; Suidae
Source: RefSeq, a predicted model, not a curated record